This 301-nucleotide ribosomal RNA is filed under the name uncultured bacterium. RNAcentral's name for it is "partial 16S ribosomal RNA". It matches the Rfam family "Bacterial small subunit ribosomal RNA", at positions 509 to 807 of the family's 1533-position model. The record is from RNAcentral.
CAGCAGCCGCGGUAAUGCGAAGGGGGCUAACGUUGUUCGGAUUUACUGGGCGUAAAGCGCACGUAGGCGGAUCCUUAAGUCAGAGGUGAAAUCCCAAGGCUCAACCUUGGAACUGCCUUUGAUACUGGGGACCUCGAGUUCGGGAGAGGUGAGUGGAACUGCGAGUGUAGAGGUGAAAUUCGUAGAUAUUCGCAAGAACACCAGUGGCGAAGGCGGCUCACUGGCCCGAUACUGACGCUGAGGUGCGAAAGCGUGAGGAGCAAACAGGAUUAGAUACCCGCGUAGUCCCUGUCUCUUAUAC